CCCUUAGAUGUCCGGGGCCGCACGCGCGCUACACUGAAGGAAUCAGCGUGGCUUUCUCCCUGACCCGAAAGGGUUGGGAAACCCGUUGAAUCUCCUUCGUGAUAGGGAUUGGGGCUUGAAAUUGUUCCCCAUGAGCGAGGAAUUCCCAGUAAGCGCGAGUCAUAAGCUCGCGUUGAUUACGUCCCUGCCCUUUGUACACACCGCCCGUCGCUACUACCGAUUGAACGGUUUAGUGAGGGCCUCGGAUUGGUCUCGGCCCGCUCUUUACCGGGCGGCGCCGUUGGUCGAGAAGACGCUCGAACUUGAUCGUUUAGAGGAAGUAAAAGUCGUAACA
RNAcentral lists this ribosomal RNA (334 nucleotides) under uncultured eukaryote. Its description in RNAcentral is "partial 18S ribosomal RNA". It matches the Rfam family "Eukaryotic small subunit ribosomal RNA", at positions 1470 to 1796 of the family's 1831-position model. The record is from RNAcentral.